RNAcentral lists this long non-coding RNA (8768 nucleotides) under Homo sapiens (human). Its description in RNAcentral is "HSALNT0314762". The record is from RNAcentral. Lineage: Eukaryota; Metazoa; Chordata; Mammalia; Primates; Hominidae.
GGCCUGUUUGAGCAGGCAUUGCAAAUCUUAAAAACAAUAAGAUGAAUAAUCAUCACUGUUUGAUCACUGCCAUUUAUUGAGUACCUUCUCCAUGGCAGAUGCUAAGAUAAGACCUAACAUGCAUCAUCUCUGAUUUUACAAGUCUUCGAGGUUGCAGCCAUGAAAAUGCCCUGGUCAGCCAUGAUUGACCAUGACAGGGGUACUAGUGCAGGCCUGUUCCUGCUGGACAUGGAACCCCUCUAAUGGCUUAAGGACUCCCACUGGCUGGCAGAAACUUUCUUAGAACAACACUGUAGUCUAAGACUCUUCCUACUGAAUUCUCUUUCCUUCUCCCUCUCCUUUCAUGGGGGUCAGGCCUGCACUGCAGUCUGGGGCUUCCUCUGCCUACUUCAGUUCCUUCCUGAACAUUUUACAGGUGUUUCCCCCAAUAAUUCUCUUAUAUGCCUAAUCCCAUCUUGGUGCCUGCAUCUCGAAGGAACUAACACAGUGGACAGGAGUCCCAUUUUGCAGACAGACACUGGAUCAAUGAUGAAGUUACUUGUGUAAGUCCUACAGCCAACAAAUGUUAAGAGCUGGGGUUGUGUGCAGGUAUGUUUGAUUCCACAAGCCAAGUCUUAGAAGCAUACUAGGCUUCCUCUCUAAUGAUCUAUGCAGGCUUAACUGUGAGGACAGGGAGUGAUGACACAUUUCAGUUUGGCCCCUUUGUUUUGUCGAUGAGAAACCUGAGACCAGUGAGGGAAAGGAUUCGCCCAUGGGUGCCAGUGGGAGGGGUGCACCUGGGCUGUGCACAGCCAUUUCCCUCCUUUGGAGGCUGAGGGAGGAGGUCACAGGGAGGCCUCAGGGUAUGGAGGGAGGUCAGGCUGGGGGGCUUAGUGUCUGACCCACCAGCCUGGCAGGCGGGAAUGUGCCUGUAGAAGCCCACGGCCCUCUUGGGGAGAAGCCAUGAAGUGAGGACUGAGUGCUGCCUGGAGGUGCUGGCUGGGAUGCACAGGGAAGAGCUGUCAGGGUAUGGGUCUAACACUGGAACAGCUGGGGGACAUUCCCUGGAUAUCCCUGCAUUGCCUUGAGGCUCUCCCAUCCCUGUUUGAUCCGUAAGCUCCAAGGAGACAUGUUUCCCAGCCAUAAUGCCUUCUGAUCCCAAUCUCUUCUACUCUUUUCAUUGGCAAGAGUCAUUCUCACCCGGGUUUUCUUAUAUAAUAAUUAUAAACUCAUUCAGGGCCUGUGAGUGAAAAGGCACACAUAUACAUUCAGGUCUAAUAUUCACUGAGCAACCAUCAGCACAAUGGUAUGUGACCUCUUUGAAUGCUGCACUAAUGCUCCACUGUCUAGAAGGAGGCCAGACUGCUCUGGGGACCAGGUGCAGAGGGUGCCCUCAAGUGUCUAGUGUCAGAGAGAGAGGGGCUACUCCACUUUGGCCAGGGUGAACUUGAGUUGGUGAUGACAAACAUCUGCAGCUAGUCUAUUUUUCUAAUCUCACCCUCCAAACAGCCCCAUCUUCUUGCAGGGAGGAUGGGUGAAGGCAUUUUCAAAAAUGGACAUCACAUGUGACAAACAGGCAAAGGACCCUGACAGAGCCACAAAACUGACACGCUCAUGAAAACUCAGACCGCUGACAAUGGUGAGCGCCGACCAAUUCAGCGCCAGGCGUGGAGGCUUCUGGCAAGAGUGGUGGGCUCUGUGCGUCCUGAUGGUGGCAGCAGAGACCAGCUUGGGAGCCACCUGGCUCCUCUGCCCUAGCCCAUUAUGGCCUGAAUCCAAUCAAUUUCAGUUCUCAGCACUUCUGAAAACGUGCGUGGCUUAGAGUGUCUGGCAGGGCUCAGGAGAGAAAAGCAUUUCUCAGCCCCGGGACACAUAUAUGCCUCCAGGCACUGGUUGUGGCUUGCAAUCUGGGAGGGCAGGUGAACGGACACCCUCCCUCCUUGCACAGGCCUGGGAUCUGCCUUACUCAACUCCCACUUCUACCAGGAGCAGAGGAUCACCGCUGCCCAGCACCCCGCCCAUCUGAAUUCUGACUCUGGUGGCUUCAGAGAAGCAAGGUAGGGGCCAGUGCUGGUAUGAAAUGCCAGAUGAGAGGAAACUGAUGCAUGCACUUUACUCCUGACUCAGAGUGCCUGAAAUAUCUGGCAAACUGGCAAAGGAUGAAACCCUUCUUUGAGGUCUGUAGAGUAGCUUUAAGAUAAAUGAAGCCACUGAGAAGGUCCAAAACAAGGGGCCCUUAGACGUGGAAGAGGUCUGCUUUCCUGAUAACUAGAGUGGUGCUGGGCUAUGAAAACAGUCCAAAUAGAUGAGGAUAGUUCCUGAGAGCACAGGGUUCUGAAGCUGGACAAAUAUUCUUCCACCUUAAUGGCCCUCUCACUGGAGCCUUCACAGGGUUAACGAUGGUCCCGCAGGAGUUGGGGCCAUGACUGAGGACAUGGAGCUGAUGUGGAGGCAGUCAGGGCCAAGGCAAGAGCCUCCUUGUGUAUAGUGGAAACGCAAGACAGACAUCAAAGGGAGUGGGGUGUGCGGUUCCCAAGGGGCUACCAGAGUCCACUUUUAUUAAAAGUUUGUGUCUUUCUUUAGAAAGUAAUAUGUUCCAUCUCCAGCACCUGAAGGCUCCUUUCAGGGUGCCAGAAGAAUCCUCAAGGGACAGUCCCAGGCUGUGUCCUUCCUCCUGUCUUGGCUGACAUUUUUAUGCAUGGUUUAGGCAGCCCAUGGGCUUUCCAGCUUUGCAAUAAGAUCUGAUCUAAUUUCAAGCUUAUACAUAACAGAAGGGCUGGGGGAGAAGUAGGAGUUCUUUUAGAAUUGCAAAAUCCAGGUGGGUGUAGCCUGUGGGGUGCAGGCUAUCCAGCUCAAAGAGGGAGGCCCAUAUCUCAGAUUCCCUAAUGCUCGGCACAGUGUCUGGCACACAAUGGGCACACAGGAAAUCCUGCACUGAAUCAAACAGAUUUUGUAUUACCAGAUCUAGGCUGACUCACUGUGUGGUCAGGACCUUGGGUCAAUCACUUCACCUGGUGACUCACUCCCUACCUGUAAGGUGUGGAGGACAGCUGGAGUCACUGUGGCACCUGUGUGUUUAGCAGUGUGUUUGCUUGUUCCUGCUUUUAUGUCUCUGGCUGGUCUAAGAUGGAAUGAUAAAAAAAUAACGGAAUGCACUUUGUAAACGAGAGCAUCCUAGACACAUGUAAAGAUUGGAAAAUUAGAAAGCUGUCUCUACUGUAGUUACUUCUCAGAUAUGACCAACCAUUAUUAAGAAUUCAUUGGCUAAUAGGGCUACAUUUUCUCAUGAUCAUUCUUCUGUUUUAGAAGUGGGCAACUGCAGUUUUAAGAAUAAAUGUGUAAAUGUGUGUUUUCAUGAGAGACAAUAAAGCUGUUUUCAUUAAGAAUGAAAUAUGCAACUUGCAAACACUUUUACUUUUCUUGAAUUGGGUCCUUCAGCAGAAGCAGUUUGCCCAGCCCUGACAUGGAAAGUUUACUUUGCUCAUCAACCUGAAGGAGACCGAAAGCUAUGAGAGGCGGCUCCUGAAAAGAAUCUAGACUCCGGAUAUAAAAAGAUCUUGCAACACAAGGCCAAGUGGAAAUCAUGGUUCGCAUUAAAGGCAUAAACCUCCUGCACUAACAACCCAGAGCAGGAGGAAAAGCUGGGAGACCUGGCUCAGCAGCCUUCCCUGAGGGAAGCCUUCGGGGCUUUGUUCCUCUUGAGAUCAGGGCAAGCCUAUGUAUGACCUGAAGCCAAUACAACCAGCAGAGCUGAUGCCAGUGCUGGCUGCCUGAGUGCUACUAAAGAAAGAGUCCACCAUCGGCUCCCUCUUCCGUAGCCAGACACAGGUGGAAUGCUGUGCUUCCUUUUGGGAGACAAAGCAGAAGCUACCCCAGAGGGGGCAGAUGGGAGACAGGCCCAGGCAAUGCAGCCCUACAAAGAAGACUUGAAGGGCCGGGGCUGAGCAGCUUGGAUGAAGAGAAGGCUGCCUUUCAGAGCUGUUUCAAAUGUUUCAGACGUUGCUAGACAAACUAGAGUUGUAUGGCUUCAGAUGGCACAGCUUAGGGCCAUAGAGUGGGAAUCACAAGAAGGCAAACUUUAGGCCCCCAGGAGAGCUGGACAACAACCUGGAGGGUCAGAGGAGAAUGGGCUGUCCAAGGAGCGGGGAUAUGAGGGUGGGGCAGUGUGGCCAUCCCUGGAAGGGGUAAGGGAGUGGCAGAUGGUAACCAUUUGGGGUGGGGUGUGGCUGAGGAUUCCUGCAAGGCUAUCAGAGAAACUCUAAGAAUCAUAAGAAUCAAAGCUCAAGUACAUGAGGGAAGACAUAAUGAAAUCCCUAAAGUUCUGAGAGGUUGUACCAGAUUCUUUAUGGAGAAUACAGAGAGAAUGCCUCCUGACUCCUCAUUCACAGAGUGCCAGGCAGCAGCAAGGAGAAGCUGGUGGCCUUGGGAGGGCAAAAACUAAGGACAAGGUCCACAAUGCAAUCAGCUCACAUCACCUACGAACAAAUAAAGUGGGGUGGGGGUGGAGAGUUGCUAGAGUUUACGUAACUCUCAAGCCUUAAUUUAGCUGCAAGAACUAGGUUUUUGCCAAAGCUAUAGAACUUCCCACCAGAUGAAAGCUUUAUCUCUUUUUCUUUCUUAGGAGAAGAGAGACAGAAGGAGAGAAGAGGGGCAGGAGGAGAGAAAACACAAGAAAGAGGAUGGAAGAUAAAGAGGAAGGCCAGAGUGAGGCAGGAGAAAGCUGAGCUGGAACCUAACUCCUGUUGAUCUGCUGCAGAGACCCUCUCAUUCCACAAUUGCUCCCGCCAUGCCAAGGAGACAAGCUCAACAUACAAAGAACAAGGAGAGAACAAUGGAAGAUGGCCUAUAAUUCAGAAGCACAUUGGGUGGAGCAUAUUGCACAUGUAGAAGCUUGUCACGGAACCCAAGAAAGCUGGAGGAACCUGGGAAGGCUUCCUGGAAGAAGGGAAAGCUGAGUUCUCUUAUCACCACUCCACCAUUUGUUCAUGUCCUCAUGUACAUAUUCAACAAACAUUUAUUGAGGGCUGAGUGUGGCUUUGUGUAUCCCAGAUAAACUAGUAUCCUGAUCUUAGCCAUGGAUCUCAGCUGCUACUAUCUCAUUCCCCACCAUGGGCAAUAAGAUGCAUACUGGUAGGGAAAAUUCUGGCAAAUUUUGUAAAGUUUAUCCAUAGGCAUAAACACUUUACCCUGUGUUAUGCUCAGAAGAGGAACACACAUUUAUUAAGCACCUACCACAUCUGCAAAUAACUUUACUCCCAAAAACUGAUUUGAUACUUAAGCAGCUUUUGUAAGGUGUGUUUCAUUCCCUAAAACUAAAGUUCAGAGAGGUUAAAAGAUUUAUCCAAGGUCACACAUUCAAGGUGGAGCCAAGAUGCACAACUAAGUCUAUUACUGUUUUUUUCAUACUCCCCCACUUCUCUGUCUCCCUCUUUCUAUUCUCAGCUGCAGACUCUGCCAGCUGCAAACUUCUUUAGUAGUUAUUCCUGAUUACUUCUGCUCCUGGUGAGCUCAUCACCUGAUUAAAGGGCUCCUAGCUUCACCAGACCUUGGAGAUGACAAACAGAUGACCCUGGAGAGGCAGGCUCUCUAGGGCUGUUCCAUUUUGGUCUGGCCCCCAUUCCAGCCGGGGAUAUAGUUCAAACCCUGACUCUGAGUUGAGCCCAAGAAAAUAAGACCAAGAUGAAAGCUUAAGUGCAUCCCCUGAAAGGCUCUUAUCUCCAGGCUAAGCUUGGAAGUGGGGAGACAGAGCACCACAACCCAACUUGGGGAUGUUGUCUCUUGUAGAAACACCUUCCUCAGUAACAGAAGGGUAGCUGCCCCUAUGUCCUAGAGAGCGGGAGUAAGAGAAAGUGGCUCCUUGCCUCUGAGAUUUGCUUAGCUGAUCCUCCCUCACCCCAACCAUAGCUCUUAACAAACCCAGGUACGCAUAAAUAUAAAUACCACCCUAUGUGUAUUUCCUGUGCCCUCCCUUUUCUCUUUCCUGAGGAGUUAUGGAGAGAAAAUAAAUGCCAGAAUUACAGAAAACUAGGUAUAAAUCUACUCACUAGCUUUAUGGCCUUGCAUCUAUUUCCCAUAUAAGCUGGCAGGGUUGGGAUUCUGUCUAGCUCUUUCCAUUUAUCAUGAUGUCCUCUUUUUGGUUCUUUUAGAUUUUGCAUCGGGUUGAUGUAGUGGAUGCUGUAGUCCACUACCCAGAUUCCUUCCCCAACCCACAACAAUGAGGUUCUCAUUCCGGAGCUGCUAGGAGGGAUGCCAGAUAAUAGCACACAGCUGAACUUCUCUUCAGCUAUUGCCCUCAGAUUAAGAAAGCUGCCUUGCUCAAGGUUACACGCCUUUCCUGGGAAACCAGUAUCCAAUGACUGGUUCCUGUAAAAGGAAUGGAGCUGCCUUAAAAGAGCUGCCUUGCUUCAAUUUGGGAAGACUAUGAAGAGCCAUCCCAGCUCUGGAGUUCUCCGUAGGGUUGGCUUGUGUAUUUGCAGGCAUCUUUGCUCAUAACAAUGAUAUCAUCUUCAUGCACAGCGAAUUAUGUUGCGGAACUUUUGGGCCUGCAGCAAAGUUUCUGUUACAGCAUUUCCUGGAAGUAUCCUUGGGUCUGUGACCCUCAUCUCCCCACAGCAGGAAGGGCAAGCAUCACAUCAUCAGUAUUGAAAGGUGCAUCAGGUUUACUGGCAAUAGCACUAAUAAUGCUAAUUAUAGAAGUGAUAGUGAGGUGGGGGGGUGGUGAUAGGAAUGGUCAAAUACAUAUCAUUUAUUUGGUCCUACUUUUUCCAGGUGUUAAGCAGUUUUCUACUAUGCCAGGUUAUAUUUUCCAAACAUGACUGUACCAAAAUAUCUCAUCCCAUAGGUUCUUACAAUGUGAUGUUGCUAUUUACUGAGAAGUGGUGUCUGCAUUCCCUCCUCUUUCAUAUGGCCAGGUUUUUGAGACUAUGCAGAAGUUAUUCCAUGAGUUCCAAGCCCAGGUCAUGAAAGAUAACUUGUAAUAAAUCUGGCUACCCUGAAGCUGCCAUGCUUGAGAGACCACACGAGAUGGAGAGAGAUGCUUAGGAGUCCCAGCUGUCCAAGCCUCCAGCUAUGUGAAUCUUCCCAGCAGCAACUGCCAGACAUGUGGUACACCCAAAAUGACUUUGGGGCUACACUUGGAAUUGGCAAGGUUCCAGAAAACAGAGGGACUAUCAUCAGAGACAGCGCACAAAAAGUGGGAGAAAGGUCACCAGCCUCACUCAUGGGCUAUUAUGAAUAAAGCUGCUAUGAACACUUGUUUACAAGUUCUUUGUGAGGACACAUGUUUUCAUUUAUCUUGGGAAAAUACCUAGAGAUGGAACUCUGGGACACAUGGUAAUAAAGUAUAUUGGCAUAAUGCAAGAGUCAAGAUGCAGAAAAUAACUACUGUGUGAUGUCUCUCUCCCAGCUUUAACCCGCCUGAAGGGCAGCACUGAGUUCAACACACUGUCCCACAAUUGUUGCACUCUCACACUGAAGUGAACAGAUUCUUUCUCCGUGCCGUGCAGCUCCCGGCAGAGGAUGAGGGAAGGGUACCAUCGGUGAUUCAGCACUGUGUUUCCUAUCCUCUUCAAUGACUCUUUCAGCGAUAUGAAGGUAAAACCAGUUAGGUGAAUGGAGCACAUGGCUAUGCUUUGUUUUAAAUGAAAGUCUUUGUCAUCCAGCGGAGGACUUUAAUUCAUUUACAUUUAUUGACAUAAAUGUUGACUUGAAAGCGUGUGUCAGAUCCCUUCACUAUAUCUUCAGACCUGCCCCAAGGAGUGAGGAAGGGCAACACCAAGAACUUCUCUCCAAGGACCAUAACCUGCGAACCCCAUCUCACCUCCUCCUGCCAGAUGGACACAGUCAUUGUCCUCCUGGCUGAUCCCAUGUCCAUGUCUUGCUCUGGCUACUUUCAUACACCCAUAAUGACAUUUUCCAUCUACUCAAUUUUUUAAAAGCUCAGCUCGAACCUCACGGAUUUUCCUGACAAUCUGCUUCUCUCAAUGGCCUUAAUUUAAGUGAGGGUUGUCAGUCUUACUGGGUCUCGUUUUUUGUCUUAAAUAAUAACUAUUUAUGGGUAUCAAGUGUCUCCUCAAUUUGGCUAUGAUCCUUCACGGCAGAAAUACUGUCUUAUCUUGUGAUCAUGGAGUCACAAGAUUUCAUGGCUAGGAAUAUUCGUCAAAUUAAUCCUAGAUUGAGGAUCAGGUAGUAUGUGGUCUGAUUCUAACUCAACAACUUGCAGAAACUCACUUCUUUUUUCUUUUUUUUUCCCCAGGAGGAGCUAUCGUAUUAACUGACGAAACUCACUUCAUUUCUUUGGACCUGCAAAAUGAGGAUGGGCUCUAAACCACCUCUAAAGUUAAUAUUCUAUGAUUCCAUGAUAAGGCUAUUUGUCAUUUAUAAAAAAAGGAACUUCCACAUAGCCCAGAGAAAGGAAAUGACUUUUUCAAGUUUACAGAGUCAAUUAAUGGACGAAAUGUAAUUUGAAAUUCAAUCUCCUGAUCCCCAGUCUAUUGGGAGUUCUUUCAGAAUGUCCCUUGACUGUCCCUCAAAGUGCCAGCAUGUAUGAAACCUUGUUAAGGAUGUAUGCUCAAUGAAAAUACACAAAUUGACUUAACAAGAAACUAAACUCUCCAGAAAGAUGCAGUUGACCCAAAACUCUGAAUAUCUUUUAUGUUUAAAACUUUCUUUUUUGAACAAAAUUGUACAGUUACUUCUCUAUUUCAACUCUUAAGCCUUUUAUGCCACGUCAAAGGUUAGCUCUCUUUUCUCUCUGUUAAUAAAGUCUUAUUCUUGACUUUGGAACUGUA